GGGUGAUCUGCCCUGCACUUUGGGAUAAGCCUGGGAAACUGGGUCUAAUACCGAAUAUGAUCAUGCUCUUCAUGGGGUGUGGUGGAAAGCUUUUGCGGUGUGGGAUGGGCCCGCGGCCUAUCAGCUUGUUGGUGGGGUAAUGGCCUACCAAGGCGACGACGGGUAGCCGGCCUGAGAGGGUGUCCGGCCACACUGGGACUGAGAUACGGCCCAGACUCCUACGGGAGGCAGCAGUGGGGAAUAUUGCACAAUGGGCGCAAGCCUGAUGCAGCGACGCCGCGUGAGGGAUGACGGCCUUCGGGUUGUAAACCUCUUUCAGCAUCGACGAAGCGCAAGUGACGGUAGAUGCAGAAGAAGCACCGGCCAACUACGUGCCAGCAGCCGCGGUAAUACGUAGGGUGCGAGCGUUGUCCGGAAUUACUGGGCGUAAAGAGCUCGUAGGUGGUUUGUCGCGUUGUCCGUGAAAACUCACAGCUUAACUGUGGGCGUGCGGGCGAUACGGGCAGACUGGAGUACUGCAGGGGAGACUGGAAUUCCUGGUGUAGCGGUGGAAUGCGCAGAUAUCAGGAGGAACACCGGUGGCGAAGGCGGGUCUCUGGGCAGUAACUGACGCUGAGGAGCGAAAGCGUGGGGAGCGAACAGGAUUAGAUACCCUGGUAGUCCACGCCGUAAACGGUGGGUACUAGGUGUGGGUUUCCUUCCUUGGGAUCCGUGCCGUAG
RNAcentral lists this ribosomal RNA (720 nucleotides) under Mycobacterium sp. Its description in RNAcentral is "bacterial SSU rRNA". It matches the Rfam family "Bacterial small subunit ribosomal RNA", at positions 119 to 851 of the family's 1533-position model. Lineage: Bacteria; Bacillati; Actinomycetota; Actinomycetes; Mycobacteriales; Mycobacteriaceae. The record is from RNAcentral.